Molecule: ribosomal RNA, 252 nt
Filed under: uncultured bacterium
Lineage: Bacteria
Description: partial 16S ribosomal RNA
Rfam family: Bacterial small subunit ribosomal RNA
Source: RNAcentral
UACGUAGGGAGCAAGCGUUGUCCGGAAUUACUGGGUGUAAAGGGAGCGUAGGCGGGAUGGCAAGUUGGGUGUUAAAUCUACCGGCUCAACUGGUAGUCGCACUCAAAACUGCUAUUCUUGAGUGAAGUAGAGGCAGGCGGAAUUCCUAGUGUAGCGGUGAAAUGCGUAGAUAUUAGGAGGAACACCAGUGGCGAAGGCGGCCUGCUGGGCUUUUACUGACACUGAGGCUCGAAAGUGUGGGGAGCAAACAGG